CUGCUGUGAUGAAACUUCAAUGCCAUCUGACUGCAUCCCCAUGCGGAAACACAGAGGCUGUUUCUGAGCAC
RNAcentral lists this small nucleolar RNA (71 nucleotides) under Coturnix japonica (Japanese quail). RNAcentral's name for it is "Small nucleolar RNA SNORD95 (ENSCJPG00005015750.1)". The record is from RNAcentral. Lineage: Eukaryota; Metazoa; Chordata; Aves; Galliformes; Phasianidae.